CCUACGGGAGGCAGCAGUGGGGAAUAUUGGACAAUGGGGGGAACCCUGAUCCAGCCAUGCCGCGUGUGUGAAGAAGGCCCUCGGGUUGUAAAGCACUUUCAGUGAGGAAGAACGCCUGGUGGUUAAUACCCAUCAGGAAAGACAUCACUCACAGAAGAAGCACCGGCUAACUCCGUGCCAGCAGCCGCGGUAAUACGGAGGGUGCGAGCGUUAAUCGGAAUUACUGGGCGUAAAGCGCGCGUAGGUGGCUUGAUAAGCCGGUUGUGAAAGCCCCGGGCUCAACCUGGGAACGGCAUCCGGAACUGUCAAGCUAGAGUGCAGGAGAGGAAGGUAGAAUUCCCGGUGUAGCGGUGAAAUGCGUAGAGAUCGGGAGGAAUACCAGUGGCGAAGGCGGCCUUCUGGACUGACACCGACACUGAGGUGCGAAAGCGUGGGUAGCAAACAGGAUUAGAUACCCCAGUAGUC
Molecule: ribosomal RNA, 465 nt
Filed under: Vreelandella stevensii
Lineage: Bacteria; Pseudomonadati; Pseudomonadota; Gammaproteobacteria; Oceanospirillales; Halomonadaceae
Description: partial 16S ribosomal RNA
Rfam family: Bacterial small subunit ribosomal RNA
Source: RNAcentral